RNAcentral lists this ribosomal RNA (1239 nucleotides) under Triticum aestivum (bread wheat). Its description in RNAcentral is "partial small subunit ribosomal RNA". The record is from RNAcentral. Lineage: Eukaryota; Viridiplantae; Streptophyta; Magnoliopsida; Poales; Poaceae.
AUGAGUAGAGGAGGCACUUUUAAGAAAACUGAUACGCAAGACAUUGCAAAAAAAUUUGGAGUGGGUGUUUGGAAUAUACAAAGAAUUUGGAGGAAGGCAAUGUUACAAAUUCAACAAGGUCAAGAAGUAGAUGUUGCCGAUCAGAGAAAAGGAAAUAGUGGAAGAAAGACUAAGGACAUUAACCUAGAAAAAAUCCUAACAAUCCCAUUAAACAGGAGGUCUACUAUUAGAUCACUAGCCUGGCAACUGGGAUGUAGCCCUACCACGCUUCAUAGAAAAUUCAUGCUGAAUUUGAUUAGGAGGCAUACAAACUAUUUGAAGCCGGCUUUAAAGGGAAAAAAUAAUAUGGAUAGGAUGAAAUUUUGUUUGUCGAUGCUUGAUGAGGAAACAACAGCAACUACGAGGCCUAAGUUCAAGACUAUGCGUAAUGUUGUCCAUAUUGAUGAGAAGUGGUUUAACAUGACAAAGAAGAAUAGAACGUAUUAUCUACUGGAUGGGGAGAAAGAGCCUACGAGGCCUAUACACGGCAACUGUAUUAGCAAGGUGAUGUUCUUAACGGCCGUUGCUAGGCCAAGGUGGGACAAUGAAGGAAACGUGACCUUCUCUGGGAAAAUCGGUAUCUGGCCAUUCGUGAAAGAAGUUCCUGCUCAAAGGAGAAGCGACAACAGGCCCAAAGGUACAAUAGAGACAAAGUCAAUAAAGGUCGACAGAAAAGUGAUGAGAGAGUUCCUCAUAGAGAAGGUCUUGCCAGCGAUACAAGCUGUUUGGCUGGAAAGUGAUGCUGAACAACCCAUCUACAUUCAGCAGGAUAAUGCUAAGCCCCAUAUCUUGCCAGAUGACCAGGAAUUUCUAGCAGCUGUCGCAAAAACUGGACUUGACAUUAGAUUAGUACAACAGCCUGCCAACAGUCCUGAUUUGAAUGUUCUUAACCUUGAGUUUUUCAACUCGCUGCAAUCCCUGACAGAUUGUCUGAGUCCUAAAACACUACAAGACCUUAUUGCAGGUGUUUUGGAGGAAUUUGAAGGCUAUGAGGUUUACAAGCUCAACAAAAUUUUCCUAACUCUACAAAUGUGCAUGAUUGAGAUCAUGAACCAUGCAGGGGGGAAUGGGUAUAAACUACCACAUGUUAACAAGGAAAGGCUUGAGGGUCAUGGGCAGCUACCUCCAAGACUAACAUGCCCUAAAGAGGUUUACGCAAAUGCUUUAUACAUCUUAGAGCUAAUGGAGAGGGUUCAGUGA